AUUGAACGCUGGCGGCAUGCCUUACACAUGCAAGUCGAACGGCAGCGGACCUUCGGGUGCCGGCGAGUGGCGAACGGGUGAGUAAUAUAUCGGAACGUACCUUUCAGUGGGGGAUAACGUAGCGAAAGUUACGCUAAUACCGCAUAUUCUGUGAGCAGGAAAGCAGGGGAGUCGCAAGACCUUGCGCUGAUUGAGCGGCCGAUACCAGAUUAGCUAGUUGGUGAGGUAAAGGCUCACCAAGGCGACGAUCUGUAGCGGGUCGUGAGAGGAUGAUCCGCCACACUGGAACUGAGACACGGUCCAGACUCCUACGGGAGGCAGCAGUGGGGAAUUUUGGACAAUGGGGGCGAACCCUGAUCCAGCCAUGCCGCGUGAGUGAAGAAGGCCUCGGUUG
Molecule: ribosomal RNA, 394 nt
Filed under: uncultured bacterium
Lineage: Bacteria
Description: bacterial SSU rRNA
Rfam family: Bacterial small subunit ribosomal RNA
Source: RNAcentral